This 479-nucleotide ribosomal RNA is filed under the name uncultured bacterium. RNAcentral's name for it is "partial 16S ribosomal RNA". It matches the Rfam family "Bacterial small subunit ribosomal RNA", at positions 28 to 507 of the family's 1533-position model. The record is from RNAcentral.
GAUGAACGCUGGCGGCGUGCUUAACACAUGCAAGUCGAGCGAGAAGUUUUGAAAAGAUUCUUCGGAUGAAAUUUAAAAUGGAAAGCGGCGGACGGGUGAGUAACGCGUAGGCAACCUGCCCCAUACAAAGGGAUAGCAUUUGGAAACGAAUAUUAAUACCUUAUGAAACUUAACUAGUGCAUGCUAGGUAGGUCAAAGAUUUAUCGGUAUGGGAUGGGCCUGCGUCUGAUUAGCUAGUCGGUGAGGUAACGGCUCACCAAGGCGACGAUCAGUAGCCGACCUGAGAGGGUGAACGGCCACAUUGGAACUGAGACACGGUCCAAACUCCUACGGGAGGCAGCAGUGGGGAAUAUUGCACAAUGGGGGAAACCCUGAUGCAGCAACGCCGCGUGAACGAUGAAGGCCUUUGGGUCGUAAAGUUCUGUUCUAGGUGACGAAAACUGACAGUAACCUAGGAGAAAGCCCCGGCUAACUCCGUG